GAGUUGGGGCUAGGGUAAGGUUUAAGGUUUUGGCGUUAGGGUUUAAAUCACUGUCCAAAACCUUUGUAGGAACUGUUUUCCAACCUUUUGGAGUUAGUUAGACCAAAUAAAAAUGAAAAAUGAAAAAAAAAUAUUUGGGGUGUUCGGGCUUCCUGAAGGUAAUACCCGGGUAUUAAGAUUUGGGGCUAGGGUAAGGUUUAAGGUUUUGGCGUUAGGGUUUAAAUCACUGUCCAAAACGUUUGUAGGAACUCUUUUCCAACCUUUUGGAGUUAGUUAGACCAAAAAGAAAUGAAAAAUGAAAAAAAAAUAUUUGUGGUGUUCGGGCUUCCUGAAGAUAAUACAUGGGUAUUAGGUUUUGGGGCUAGGGAAAGGUUUAAGGUUUUUGGCGUUAGGGUUAAAAUCACUGUCCAAAACCUUUGUAGGAACUCUUUUCCAACCAUUUGGAGUUAGUUAGACCAAAUAAAAAUGAAAAAUGAAAAAAAAAUAUUUGGCUUGUUUUGGCUUCCUGAAGAUAAUGCACGGGUAUUAGGUUUUGGGGCUAGGGUAAGGUUUAAGGUUUUUGGCGUUAGGGUUUAAAUCACUGUCCAAAACCUUUGUAGGAACUAUUUUCCAAGCUUUGGGAGUUAGUUAGACCAAAAAGAAAUGAAAAAUGAAAAAAAAAUAUUUGGGGUUUUCGGGAUUCCUGAAGGUAAUACCCGGGUAUUAGGUUUUGGGGCUAGGGGAAGGUUUAAGGUUUUUGGCGUUAGGGUUAAAAUGACUGUCCAAAACCUAUUUAGGAACAUGUUUCAGACCUUUUGGAGUUGGUUACACCAAAUAAAAAUAAAAAAUAAAAAAAAUAUAUUUGGGGUGUUCGGGCCUCCUGAAGGUAAUACCCGGGUAUAAGUUUUGGGGCUAUGGUAAGGUUUAAGGUUUUGGCGUUAGGGUUUAAAUCACUGUCCAAAACCUUUGUAGGAACUCUUUUCCAACCUUUUGGAGUUAGUUACACCAAAUAAAAAUGAAAAAUGAAAAAAAAUAUAUUUGGGGUGUUUGGGCUUCCUGAAGGUAAUACCCGGGUAUUAAGAUUUGGGGCUAGGGUAAGGUUAAAGGUUUUGGCGUUAGGGUUUAAAUCACUGUCCAAAACAUUUGUAGGAACUCUUUUCCAACCUUUUGGAGUUAGUUAGACCAAAAAAUAAUGAAAAAUGAAAAAAAAAUAUUUGGGGUUUUCGGGAUUCCUGAAGGUAAUACCCGGGUAUUA
Non-coding RNA from Xyrichtys novacula (pearly razorfish), 1234 nucleotides. NCBI's taxonomy places the organism in Eukaryota, Metazoa, Chordata, Actinopteri, Labriformes, Labridae. The record is from the annotation of a GenBank genome assembly.